CCGGCGGGCGGGGAUCUCCCGGGCCGCGGUUGCUGGCUGGUCUGCUCGCUGAGGCCCCGCGUAAGACCAUGUACUGGCGCCGCGCAGCGCUGGUGGGGACUCGGCUCGUCCGGGUCAGGAGCAGCUCAGCGGGUCGGCUUGAGGGGCCAGCGGGAAUUUCGGGCUCCGGGAUGGGGAACAGCACAUCGUCAUCUUUGGGAAACGCAGCAACUGCUCCCGUGAAUCAGAUCCAAGAGACCAUUUCUAAUAAUUGUGUGGUGAUUUUCUCCAAAACAUCCUGUUCUUACUGUACAAUGGCAAAAAAACUUUUCCAUGACAUGAAUGUUAACUAUAAAGUGGUGGAAUUGGACAUGCUUGAAUACGGAAGUCAGUUUCAAGACGCACUUCACAAAAUGACUGGUGAAAGAACUGUACCACGAAUAUUUGUCAAUGGAACUUUUAUUGGAGGUGCAACUGACACUCAUAGGCUUCACAAAGAAGGGAAAUUGCUUCCACUAGUUCACCAGUGUCAUUUAAAAAAAAGUAAGAGGGAAGAACUUUAGUGAUCCUGCCAGGCUUCUCUGUCCAUGGAAUUCUCCAGGCAAGAAUACUGGAGUGGGUUGCCGUGCCCUCCUCCAGGGGAUCUUCCAUCGAACCUGCGUCUCUUAUGUCUAACCUGCAUUGACAGCGAGGGCUUCCCUGGUGGCUCUGUGGUAAAGAAUCCGUCUGCCAAUGCAGGCAACAAGGGUUCAAUCCCUUGGUGGGGAAGAUCCUCUGGAGAAGGAAAUGGCAACCCAUCCCAGUAUUCUUGCCUUGAAAAUUCCACGGACAGAGGAGUCUGGAUGACUAUAGUCCGAGGAAUCACAAGAGUCGGACAUGACUUAGCAACUAAACAAUAACAAUUGUUAUAACAACCCUAGAAGAGCGGUAGCAGGAUGGACACUUCCAGCAAAGGUCUCAUUAUCAGUGAAUACGAUGAAGACAUCGGCAGCUGUAUUUGUCUUUUGAGCCCAGAUCAUCGGAAGAGAGCAAUCAGUCUCACCUGCUGGGAUCUAACUCAGAAUAAAAACAUGGUUAAGAAUAAAAGAAAAUGCUCUCAUUUCCAUACUGAGAUGUCUGAAAUAAUUAAAUACUUAAAAAUACUAUUUUACACGUUAUCAUCUUGUUUAGCACCAAUGUAUAUGCCUUCUGAAAGCUUGUAAAUAUAUUUUUGAUUUUGUGCUCGUAAAAAAAACUGAGAUGUAACACAAUGUAUUCUCAUAUAUUGAUUAAUAUCAGGCAUGACAUCAAUACAAAAUUAUUAUAAAAUACAUGUUAAAUAAACUACAUGAAAUAGUUUCUUACCUGA
Molecule: RNA transcript, 1327 nt
Organism: Dama dama (fallow deer)
Lineage: Eukaryota; Metazoa; Chordata; Mammalia; Artiodactyla; Cervidae
Gene: GLRX2
Gene name: glutaredoxin 2
Exons: 7
Source: RefSeq, a predicted model, not a curated record